GUGAGGAAUAUUGGUCAAUGGGCGAGAGCCUGAACCAGCCAAGUCGCGUGAAGGAAGACGGAUCUAUGGUUUGUAAACUUCUUUUAUACGGGAAUAAAGUGCGGCACGUGUGCCGUUUUGUAUGUACCGUACUGAAUAAGCAUCGGCUAACUCCGUGCCAGCAGCCGCGGUAAUACGGAGGAUGCGAGCGUUAUCCGGAUUUAUUGGGUUUAAAGGGUGCGUAGGUUGUGGAUUAAGUCAGCGGUGAAAGUUUGUCGCUCAACGAUAAAAUUGCCGUUGAAACUGGUUCACUUGAGUAUAUUUGAAGUAGGCGGAAUGCGUGGUGUAGCGGUGAAAUGCAUAGAUAUCACGCAGAACUCCGAUUGCGAAGGCAGCUUACUAAGUUAUAACUGACACUGAAGCACGAAAGCGUGGGUAUCAAACAGGAUUAGAUACCCGGGUAGUCC
RNAcentral lists this ribosomal RNA (446 nucleotides) under uncultured bacterium. RNAcentral's name for it is "partial 16S ribosomal RNA". It matches the Rfam family "Bacterial small subunit ribosomal RNA", at positions 354 to 796 of the family's 1533-position model. The record is from RNAcentral.